RNAcentral lists this ribosomal RNA (373 nucleotides) under uncultured eukaryote. Its description in RNAcentral is "partial 18S ribosomal RNA". It matches the Rfam family "Eukaryotic small subunit ribosomal RNA", at positions 592 to 976 of the family's 1831-position model. The record is from RNAcentral.
CAAUAGCGUAUAUUAAAGUUGUUGCAGUUAAAAAGCUCGUAGUUGAAUUUUUGCUUGCCGCCGAUGUCGGAACUUCCGUACGUUCGGCGGCGUGCAUCCCUGGGUGGAACCUGUGUGGCAUUAGGUUGUCGUGCAGGGGAUGCUCAUCGUUUACUGUGAAAAAAUUAGAGUGUUCAAAGCAGGCUUACGCCGUUGAAUAUAUUAGCAUGGAAUAAUAAGAUAGGACCUUGGUACUAUUUUGUUGGUUUGCGCACCGAGGUAAUGAUUAACAGGGACAGUUGGGGGUAUUCGUAUUCCAUUGUCAGAGGUGAAAUUCUUGGAUUUCUGGAAGACGAACUACUGCGAAAGCAUUUACCAAGGAUGUUUUCAUUAA